UACGGAGGAUGCAAGCGUUAUCCGGAAUGAUUGGGCGUAAAGCGUCCGCAGGUGGCUAUGUAAGUCUGCUGUUAAAGAGUGAGGCUCAACCUCAUAAGAGCAGUGGAAACUACAUAGCUAGAGUGCGUUCGGGGCAGAGGGAAUUCCUGGUGUAGCGGUGAAAUGCGUAGAUAUCACUAGGAACGCCGGUGGCGAAAGCGGCGUGCUGGACCCCAACUGACGCUGAGGCGCGAAAGCCAGGGGAGCAAACGGG
RNAcentral lists this ribosomal RNA (253 nucleotides) under uncultured bacterium. Its description in RNAcentral is "partial 16S ribosomal RNA". It matches the Rfam family "Bacterial small subunit ribosomal RNA", at positions 524 to 776 of the family's 1533-position model. The record is from RNAcentral.